This 498-nucleotide ribosomal RNA is filed under the name uncultured bacterium. Its description in RNAcentral is "partial 16S ribosomal RNA". It matches the Rfam family "Bacterial small subunit ribosomal RNA", at positions 28 to 522 of the family's 1533-position model. The record is from RNAcentral.
GAUGAACGCUAGCGGCAGGCCUAAUACAUGCAAGACGAACGGUAAGCUUUGUAGCAAUACGGAGCCUAGAGUGUCGUAAGGGUGCGUAACACGUAUGCAAUCUACCCUGUACAGGAGUAUAGCCACCCGAAAGGGGAAUUGAUCCUCCAUAACAUAGUGAGUCGUCAUCGACUUAUUACUAAAACUGAGGUGGUAAAGGAUGAGAAUGCGUCUGAUUAGCUAGUUGGUAGUGUAAUGGACUACCAAGGCAAUGAUCAGUAGGGGAACUGAGAGGUUGAUCCCCCACACUGGCACUGAGAUACGGGCCAGACUCCUACGGGAGGCAGCAGUAGGGAAUAUUGGACAAUGGGUGAUAGCCUGAUCCAGCCAUGCCGCGUGCAGGAAGAAGGCCUUCUGGGUUGUAAACUGCUUUUAUCUGGGGAUAAAAAGGCCUUGCGAGGCAAACUGAAGGUACCAGAUGAAUAAGCCACGGCUAACUACGUGCCAGCCGCCGCGUAA